GCGGCGAACGGGUGAGCAACACGUAACCAAUCUGCCCUCGAGAUCGGAAUAACCACUGGAAACGGUGGCUAAUGCCGGAUGGUCCUGCGCUCGGGUAUCCUUGCGCAGGUAAACGGUGGCUCUGCCACUGCUCGGGGAGGGGGUUGCGGCCUAUUAGCUUGUUGGUGAGGUAAUGGCUCACCAAGGCUAUGAUGGGUAGCGGGUCUGAGAGGAUGGCCCGUCACACUGGGACUGAGACACUGCCCAGACUCCUACGGGAGGCUGCAGUCGAGAAUCUUCCGCAAUGGGCGAGAGCCUGACGGAGCGACACCGCGUGUGGGAUGAAGGCCCUCGGGUUGUAAACCACUGUCACGCUUUAGGAAUGGCGUAGGGUAAAUAGCCCUGCGAUUGACCAAGGCGAGAGGAAGCACCGGCUAACUCCGUGCCAGCAGCCGCGGUAAGACGGAGGGUGCAAACGUUGUUCGGAACCACUGGGCAUAAAGCGCACGUAGGCGGUCCAUUAAGCCAGGUGUGAAAUCCCUCGGCUCAACCGAGGAACUGCAUUUGAUACUGAUGGGCUGGAGGGUGGCAGGGGUGAGUGGAACUCCAGGUGGAGCGGUGAAAUGCGUAGAUAUCUGGAGGAACACCGGUGGCGAAAGCGACUCACCGGGCCACAACUGACGCUGAGGUGCGAAAGCUAGGGGAGCGAACGGGAUUAGAUACCCCGGUAGUCCUAGCCGUAAACGAUGGGCACUAGGUAGAGGGAAUGCCUAUGGUUCUCCCUGCCGUAGCAAAUGUGUUAAGUGCCCCGCCUGGGGAGUACGCUCGCAAGAGUAAAACUCAAAGGAAUUGACGGGGGAUCACACAAGCGGUGGAGCAUGUGGUUUAAUUCGAAGCAACGCGAAGAACCUUACCUGGCCUUGACAUGCGCGGAUUAGCUUCCUGAAAGGGAAGUAACGGCUCUUCGGAGCCGGAACGCGUACAGGUGUUGCAUGGCUGUCGUCAGCUCGUGUCGUGAGAUGUUGGGUUAAGUCCCGUAACGAGCGAAACCCUUGUCGCUAGUUGCCAGCGGGUAAUGCCGGGGACUCUAGCGAGACUGCCGUUGUCAAGACGGAGGAAGGUGGGGAUGACGUCAAGUCAUCAUGGCCCUUAUGGCCAGGGCUACACACGUGCUACAAGGGUCUGUACAAAGGGUUCCGAAGCCGCGAGGUUGAGGCAAUCCCAGAAAGCAGGCCCCAGUUCGGAUGCAGGCUGAAAUUCGCCUGCAUGAAGCCGGAAUCGCUAGUAAUCGCGUAUCAGCCAUGACGCGGUGAAUAUGUUCCUGAUCCUUGUACACACCGCCCGUCAAGCCACGAAAGCGGGGAGCGCUCGAAGUCGCUUUGUCUAACCUUCGGGAGGACGGCGCCGAAAGCGAGCUCCGUGAUUGGGACUAAGUCGUAACAAGGUA
This 1426-nucleotide ribosomal RNA is filed under the name metagenome. RNAcentral's name for it is "bacterial SSU rRNA". It matches the Rfam family "Bacterial small subunit ribosomal RNA". The record is from RNAcentral.